Molecule: long non-coding RNA, 1738 nt
Organism: Oreochromis aureus
Lineage: Eukaryota; Metazoa; Chordata; Actinopteri; Cichliformes; Cichlidae
Exons: 5
Source: RefSeq, a predicted model, not a curated record
CUGUGUUCAAAAUCUAUUGCUCUAUUAAAAAAAAAAAGAAAUUUUGGAAAAAAAAACUUUAAUAGUCAGUAAACUUAAACUAAUAAUUUGCCCCUGUGUGUCUGCAAACAUCUUCAAAGGCAGUAAUGGCAUUUAAAUGGUGUUUUGUGAAUUAAAUGUAUCAGCAUCAUCUAGCUUAGUUCUGUGAUAUGGUUUUAACUACGAUCAGCGAGACCUAGAUGAUCUUUGUAGAGAGAAAGGCCCAAAUGCAGACUCACAGGCAGGUGAAUAUUAAUAACCAACAAUCCAUUUAUUAAGGCUGAUGUCCAUGGUACAGAACUAAGAUGAAAACAGAAUGUGAAAGGCAACAGAGAAACUUUUAUAACUAAAACCUAGACUGGGAACGAACACUAGGCACUGGGGACACCUGCCUCAGGUGUUAUCAGUCCAUUCAAUGGGCCUUAUAAGCAGAAAUCAGCACCAUAGAUAUGGGCCAGCAUGGGCCAUCUCCACCUGCUAGUUUGUUCAGAAGGUUGUUAUCAUCCAUCCAGAUGGAGGAUCACCAACAGGAGCGUGGGAAGACUCCAGAAUCCACUCUGGCUGGAAUCCGGUGGAUACAGCAGUGUUACAGAUUUCAGAGGAACACUUUUAAAGUAUCCUUAAUACUUUAAAGCAGAACUGGAUUGGAAAUCAAAAGCUCCUUAAAAGCUUUUUCUGUUCCCCGACCGUCAAAGCCAAACUUCAGCCAUGAGAGCUGACGGGAUAUGACUUUUUAAAAUCAGAAACAAAGGUACAGUGAAUGAUAUUAACGGCAGGGAAACAACACUGGGGGAAGACAAGAAGAAGUGUUUCCAGGAGGAAGCUGCAGUGAGGACACAGCCGCCUCACACUGAGGAGGCACUGAAAGGUUCCCUAACAGUUCCUGGUGAAUCACAGCAGAACCAUAAAGGUUGCUGGGCUGCAUGAUGGCCUUAGCCCUGAGAAGCCAUCCUGUUACAGGAGGAGCAAUUAGAAGCUGUUUUCAAAGUAGCUGAGCAGAUUUCAUCUCAAAUCAAAGUGAAUCGUGAUGUUUCCGCUUCCAUUUUGAUUCCAAGAAGAAGAAGAAUGCUUCAAAGAAGUGGCGUUCAUGGUCUCAGUCCACAGUGUGACAAUCGUGGUCACACACUAGAUGUGCUUUUUAAAACAACAUGUUUCUUCACUUCAAAAACUUUGACAUGUGUCUUGUUGUUUGGAUAUGUAUAAUAUUAGUGCAUGUUAGGGUUUGUUGCUGAAAAUUGUUCACUUCUGUUUUGUAUUUUCAUGAUCACUUACACCAAAGAUAUUGUUUUAAAAAGUUUUGUUUUCAGAGUCUUUCUUAUAAAAUCCUGAGCCUGUAGUUUUACAUGAAUGUUGCUUUUUCAUUUAUGAUCUUGUAAUGCUUACACUACACUGUGCACAUCUACAUUAGAGACAUCUUAGUUACCUAUUUGUGAGACUGGGCUGCUUGACUAUUAUUUGGAAGUGUAUGUAAAAAGCAUGAUAUCAUUUCUUUUUUAAUAUGAUGGACUGAACUCAGGAGGUAUCUGCUUUUGACCAUGCAAAGAUUGAUCUGAUCCCAUUUAUACCUGUAUCUACUAUUUCAAGAUUUAGCUGAAGUUUGCUCAACUUUAAUUGUCAGGAUACAUGUUUAUUCCAGCUCUCAUAGUGCAAAGCCAUGAGACAGACCUAUUAAACUCAAUGCACAAUGUAAAGUUCAUAAUUCUCUGACAAAUAAAACUGU